CCCUCGAUAGCUCAAUUGGCAGAGCGGAGGACUGUAGAUGUUACAACGGUGAUCCUUAGGAAGCUCUGGUUCAAAUCCAGCUCGAGGGA
RNAcentral lists this transfer RNA (89 nucleotides) under Cordylochernes scorpioides. Its description in RNAcentral is "tRNA-Tyr". It matches the Rfam family "tRNA". From Rfam's summary of the family: Transfer RNA (tRNA) molecules are approximately 80 nucleotides in length. Their secondary structure includes four short double-helical elements and three loops (D, anti-codon, and T loops). The record is from RNAcentral. Lineage: Eukaryota; Metazoa; Arthropoda; Arachnida; Pseudoscorpiones; Chernetidae.